This 74-nucleotide transfer RNA is filed under the name Euzebya pacifica. Its description in RNAcentral is "Euzebya sp. DY32-46 tRNA-Gly". It matches the Rfam family "tRNA". From Rfam's summary of the family: Transfer RNA (tRNA) molecules are approximately 80 nucleotides in length. Their secondary structure includes four short double-helical elements and three loops (D, anti-codon, and T loops). RNAcentral also lists the same sequence under 3 other names. The record is from RNAcentral. Lineage: Bacteria; Bacillati; Actinomycetota; Nitriliruptoria; Euzebyales; Euzebyaceae.
GCGGGUGUAGUUCAAUGGUAGAACCCUAGCCUUCCAAGCUAGCUACAGGGGUUCGAUUCCCCUCACCCGCUCCA